Molecule: ribosomal RNA, 439 nt
Filed under: uncultured bacterium
Lineage: Bacteria
Description: partial 16S ribosomal RNA
Rfam family: Bacterial small subunit ribosomal RNA
Source: RNAcentral
CUACGGGUGGCAGCAGUGAGGAAUAUUGCACAAUGGGGGGAACCCUGAUGCAGCAACGCCGCGUGGAGGAUGACGCAUUUCGGUGUGUAAACUCCUUUUAUAUGUCAAGAAAAUGACGGUAGCAUAUGAAUAAGCACCGGCUAACUCCGUGCCAGCAGCCGCGGUAAUACGGAGGGUGCAAGCGUUACUCGGAAUCACUGGGCGUAAAGGACGCGUAGGCGGGUUGGAAAGUCAGGUGUGAAAUCCUACAGCUUAACUGUAGAACUGCACUUGAAACUUCUAAUAGAGAGUAUGGGAGGGGGAGAUGGAAUUAGUGGUGUAGGGGUAAAAUCCGUAGAUAUCACUAGGAAUACCUAAAGCGAAGGCGAUCUCCUGGAACAUUACUGACGCUAAGGCGUGAAAGCGUGGGGAGCAAACAGGAUUAGAUACCCCUGUAGUC